UGGGGAAUUUUGGACAAUGGGCGAAAGCCUGAUCCAGCAAUGCCGCGUGUGUGAAGAAGGCCUUCGGGUUGUAAAGCACUUUUGUCCGGAAAGAAAUCCUUGGCUCUAAUACAGUCGGGGGAUGACGGUACCGGAAGAAUAAGCACCGGCUAACUACGUGCCAGCAGCCGCGGUAAUACGUAGGGUGCAAGCGUUAAUCGGAAUUACUGGGCGUAAAGCGUGCGCAGGCGGUUUGCUAAGACCGAUGUGAAAUCCCCGGGCUCAACCUGGGAACUGCAUUGGUGACUGGCAGGCUAGAGUAUGGCAGAGGGGGGUAGAAUUCCACGUGUAGCAGUGAAAUGCGUAGAGAUGUGGAGGAAUACCGAUGGCGAAGGCAGCCCCCUGGGCCAAUACUGACGCUCAUGCACAGAAAGCGUGGGGAGCAAACAGGAUUAGAUACCCUGGUAGUCCACGCCCUAAACGAUGUCAACUAGUUGUUGGGGAUUCAUUUCCUUAGUAACGUAGCUAACGCGUGAAGUUGACCGCCUGGGGAGUACGGUCGCAAGAUUAAAACUCAAUGAAUUGACGGGGUCAUAGCUGUUUCCU
RNAcentral lists this ribosomal RNA (585 nucleotides) under uncultured bacterium. RNAcentral describes it as "partial 16S ribosomal RNA". It matches the Rfam family "Bacterial small subunit ribosomal RNA", at positions 355 to 1375 of the family's 1533-position model. The record is from RNAcentral.